Molecule: small RNA, 780 nt
Filed under: Olea europaea subsp. europaea
Lineage: Eukaryota; Viridiplantae; Streptophyta; Magnoliopsida; Lamiales; Oleaceae
Source: RNAcentral
UAAACAUACGUAUUUAUACUUACCAAAUUCAAGUGUCAAUUGUAAGUAAUACUUUUUUGUUGAGCCUUUGAUAAUUUUUUGAGAUUUCAAUGUUCGAGCAGAUGGAAGAAGAAAUUUCUUUUUAACUGUGUUGAAAAAUCUGAUAAGAAAAGUGAUUUCGUUUUGAGAUUUAAGUGGAAUUGUUUGGAUUUAUUACUUUUUUAAAGAGGGUAUUAUUGUCUUUUGGACAAAUGGUAUAUUUUUGUAAUUACAACACAUAACAAGGACAAAAUUGACAUUUACCCUUCAAAAGACCAUUUUGGUGAAUGGCAAAAAAAGGUUGGUCAAUAUGAAAAAUUAGUGUUUUGACUUGAUUAUUCUAAAAAGUACCCCUGAAUGAUGAGUGUUUUGAUGUGAUUAGCAUCUGAACUGUUAUUUCACUAGCAAGUUAGUCCGCGGCUUUAAAAAAUUUAAUUCAGAGCAUAUCCAAAAAAAUUCUUAUUUUUAAAGAGCGACUAUAAAUUUAUAGAGUAAAAUUUUUUAAAUAUUCCAACAUUCUCUUUGUGUUUAACAUUUAAUUUAUUACUCUAAAAUUAUUUAUUAUUUUUCCUAUAUUUUAUUUUCACUAGCUUCCCACCUAAUUAUUAUAUAGUUUUCUUACAUUAAAAAUUGAAAUAUUUUGAAUACAUUUUAAUUAUAGAGGGUGAAUUUGGAAAGUUAGAGCCACUUUCUAUUUUGAAAUGUUAAUUUAAAUAGUAUUUUUGGAGUAUAAUUUUAACAGUUUACUCUUUAAAGUAGUGA